UAGACGUGACAUAAAUGUGUCCUAGACAGACCCUUCUUUUCUUAGUGAAACAUCAACUUUCCAAAGACAAUAUUCCAAACUGGACAGUUGAUACAUAGAGCUAUUUUACUUUAACAUUUAAAGUGUGGCUGCAAAUCUGGGAUGCAGGAGGUGAAAAUUCAUUGUCUAAUCUGUUUCUCAGUUUCCUCUUUCAGAAACGAGAGAUUUUUCAAGACCUUGCUCCACUGCUGUGGCACUCCUUUGGCACUGUUGCUGCACUGCUCCAGGAGAUUGUGUCAAUUUACCCUUCACUUUCACCUCCUACUUUGUCGCCAGUUGCAUCAAACCGUGUCUGCAAUGCACUUGCACUUCUUCAGUGUGUUGCUUCACACCCUGAGACCAGGAUCCCGUUCUUGAAUGCUCACAUCCCACUGUACCUGUACCCGUUCCUGAAUACUACCAGCAAG
Triticum aestivum (bread wheat) is the source of this 446-nucleotide long non-coding RNA. RefSeq lists it as uncharacterized. The record is from RefSeq and is a predicted model, not a curated record. The transcript has 4 exons. Lineage: Eukaryota; Viridiplantae; Streptophyta; Magnoliopsida; Poales; Poaceae.